GUUGCAGUUAAAAAGCUCGUAGUUGGAUUUCUGCGGGGACGGAGCGGCCGGACGCAACUUGCGUCUCGAGCUAGCGCUUUCCCCACAUCCUGCCGCGAACCGUGCUACCAUUAGUUUGGUGGCGCUGGGGAUCGGCUCGAUUACUUUGAGAAAAAUAGAGUGUUCAAAGCAGGCCACACGCCUUGAAUAAGUUAGCAUGGAAUAAUGACUAAGGACUUUGGUUCUUUUCGUUGGUGUUCGGGACUGAAGUAAUGAUUGAUAGGGACAGUUGGGGCGGUCCGUAUUCCAAAGCGAGAGGUGAAAUUCUUAGACCUUCGGAAGACGAACAGCUGCGAAAGCGUUCCGCAAGGAUGUUCCCUUUGAUCAAGAACGAAAGUUGGGGGAUCGAAGACGAUCAGAUACCGUCGUAGUCUCAACUAUAAACUAUACCAGCUAGGGAUCGGCCAACGUUUAAUUAUUCGACUUGGUCGGCACCUUAUGAGAAAUCAAAGCAUCUGGGUUCCGGGGGGAGUAUGGUCGCAAGGCUGAAACUUAAAGGAAUUGACGGAAGGGCACCACCAGGCGUGGAGCCUGUGGCUUAAUUUGACUCAACACGGGAAAACUUACCAGGUCCAGACAUAGGAAGGAUUGACAGAUUGAUAGCUCUUUCUUGAUUCUGUGGGUGGUGGUGCAUGGCCGUUUUUAGUCGGUGAAGUGAUUUGUCUGCUUAAUUGCGUUAACGGACGAGACCCCAGCCUGCUAAAUAGCGCGGCCGAGCUUUGCUCGGCACGAGCUUCUUA
This 779-nucleotide ribosomal RNA is filed under the name uncultured eukaryote. RNAcentral's name for it is "SSU rRNA". It matches the Rfam family "Eukaryotic small subunit ribosomal RNA", at positions 612 to 1413 of the family's 1831-position model. The record is from RNAcentral.